UCUGGCUCAGAUGCACAUCUAGCGAAGUCAAAGGAGAAAUUCUAACAUGAUAUCUGAUCUCAGCUCUCUGGUCCAGAAUGAAUGUGUUGGCUUUAGUAAUUUGCUAAACUGCUUCUGGAUUGAAAGAACUAGUUUAAUUUAUUUAUCUAUUCUAAAACCAUCCAUUGUCUAUUUACUAUAUGCUAAGCCCUGGACUUUUGCUUGAGAAUACUAAGAAAAAUAAUACCUAUUUCCUACCUUUAAAAGAAUCAUAGUCUAGGGAGAGAGAGAGACAAAAUCAUGUACGGCCGGCCUCACUAGGAUGUGAUCAGUACUCUAGAGGAGACAAAGAGCUAUAAGAGCCUACAAGAAGGAGGGAAUAAUGCUGCAUGGGAGGAAGUGGGAAUUGAGAAAGCUGCUGCAGUGGAAAUGCUGGCCUGCUGUCACCUACAAUAUGCUACUCAGAAGUGGAAGUCCUAUGGCAUAGUUUUGGAUUAUGUUCCUGGAAGCCCAGAAUCAAAGGCCAUGAUGGAAAGAAGGAGUUGGAGGGAAAGCACAAAUCUGGAAAUGAGUAAUUACUCUAAAUAGACUAUUUUCCAAUAAAGUCACUAUGAUAUGUUUGUUGGCAAAGUUGGAAAAGCAGCUUGAGAGCCAAGAUGAGGUCAGCUUCUUGGGGCCAGAGUUCAGAAAGAAGAAAGAAUUUGGAGGAGGAAAUGGAAGAUGUUCAACACAGGUCAAAGAGCAAGAGUGAAGGGUGGAAUUACCUGAUUUGCUUCAUAUCAUGACUUGGAAAUGUGAUUUUGGCAGCACCAAGAUCAGAUCCAUUUCAUGGGAGAAGAUUCUCAGAAACCAAAUUCAAAACACCGAUGAUCUAAAGUCAGAAUAAUAACUUAAUAAUUCACAACGAGAAAAGAAAAAAAUCUCACAUGAGAUGGGAUACUUGUAUUGACAUCAAUGUUCUUUGCUCCUGGUGGUCAGGAAUCUUCUGACAUCUUCAACUGCUCUGUGAAAUCUACUGUAAAAUGCUGAGACAAGGAGAGAGAACCCACCAAACCUCUGCAAUCUGUCAUACUUUCCUAGAUGAAUAUUAAAUGUUUGGGAAAAAGAGAAACAGGCCACACCAGACAUUUUAGUGACUCCAGAAUGUCCUGACUCAGGAACAAGGAAACAUUUUGGACCACAAAGCAAUUCUAUUGUAGUGAAUAUCCUCCAGUUUUGAAUCUGUUAACAUUCUGAAUUUGAUAUCUUUUCUCUAACACCUGAAGAUCUUCUCUGAUGAUUCUGGCUUCUUUCCUUGUGCCUCUGGCUUCCUGUUCUUCUCUCUUGGUUCCCUGAAUACGUGUGCUUCUGAAUACUUGCUCAUCAGUUGACCUUCAUUUUGAACCUGGAUGCAAGCAUUGUGUUCACAUGUUGUUUUCCCUUUCUCUCUGAUAUGCAGACUUCGGACCUACCCAUUGUCACUUCUAAGUUCCCCAAAG
Molecule: long non-coding RNA, 1457 nt
Filed under: Equus asinus (donkey)
Lineage: Eukaryota; Metazoa; Chordata; Mammalia; Perissodactyla; Equidae
Description: lncRNA (ENSEASG00005024810.1)
Source: RNAcentral